AAUCUCCCCCAGAAAGAUAACUCACUUCUUAUAAGUGGUUUAAUUUUUUAAAAGGCUAAGUUUCAUUCCUGUGCAUUUGAUUGCAGAGCAAUUGAGUGGUGGGGGGAUAUUUUGCAAGGGAGAAAAAUUGUGUGAGAAAACAGCAAAUUCCUUACCUGGAGUUUUUACUUUAGCAUUUAAAUUUACACCUUCAGUCAUCAUAAAGAUUAUCAUAGUGGUGAAUUUCAAAAUUUCUUGUUGUGUUUUGAUUUGACUUGCUUUAUAAUUCAUUCCUUAAAUAUCUGAUGUGGUUUGCCUUUGUGUCCCUACCCAAAUCUCAUCUUGAAUUGUAAUCCCAUAAUCUCCACCUGUGGUGGGAGGGACUCAGUGGGAGGUAACUGAAUCAUGGGGG
Molecule: long non-coding RNA, 391 nt
Filed under: Pan troglodytes (chimpanzee)
Lineage: Eukaryota; Metazoa; Chordata; Mammalia; Primates; Hominidae
Description: long non-coding RNA NONPTRT010120
Source: RNAcentral